Long non-coding RNA from Cicer arietinum (chickpea), 1863 nucleotides. RefSeq lists it as uncharacterized. NCBI's taxonomy places the organism in Eukaryota, Viridiplantae, Streptophyta, Magnoliopsida, Fabales, Fabaceae. The record is from RefSeq and is a predicted model, not a curated record.
UAUUCUUUUCGUAUCUUUUCUUGGCACCAACAACAUGUAGAAGAUAAAUUUAGUAGUAUAAAUUGAUGCUCUAGCUCUGAUAAAUAUAUUGAUGAAAGCCCCAUCUAUCAAAGGAUCCCCAAUUAGUAAUUUCCCCCAUUUAACUUAGUAAUUUCUCAACAUUUAAGGUAUAUAGGGGUAUUAAGAGGUAAAACUUGUAACUAGACCCAAAAUAUAACUUAUGGAUAGUCAAUCUCAAAAACAGCUGCUUUGGGGAUACACGAUUGCAAAUUAACAAGUCUAUUCAUAACAUAUCAAGGUCAUCUUCUCCUGAAAUUAAUAUGAUAUCCCAUUUAUAUAAGUCAGAUUCUCCCAAGUAGAUCGUGCUAAGCUAUAAGUCAAAUCAUCCUUACGUUGUUGUUCUAGCAUGCUCCGAUUGUGUUCCUCCCAUCUAUCCACAUGGAAUUCUUGAAAGAGGAUUAUGCCUAAAGAACUCCAUCACUUAGAGGCUUCUCGGUCCGAUUAAACAUUUCAUGCUGCCUAAAAAUUGAAGGUCUUACAGUUUCGUUGGUGGAUUACCAGUACCUUGGUUGGUGCCACCCCGGGUCGAGUUAGAGCUUCCACUUCUGGUGAAUGAUCCUCUAUCGACUAUCUUUGAGAUAGUUGUUUUGAGAUUUCAAUGCCGUUGAAGCCACUUAUCUCAUGGGUGGACUCGACCUAUGAGGAGAUUGAUCCCUCUAUGGUUGAUGAGAGGAGGAACUUACUUCGAGGAGAGAUACUGCGUCAAAGGGAACUUUUGCGGUGUGUGGAGGUCACCUUUGUUACUGUAGAUGUUAGUGGAUGAUCAUAAUAAUUUUUUGUUGUUGUUGUAUAGGGUCUUAGUGUCUUUCAUUUGGUGAUUGUACUUAUUUUGUUUUGGAUGACUGUAUCUAUGACAUACCUUGACAGUUGACUUUUGUUUGGUGGGUUCAUGUUCUAUUUUUUUUACGUGACCAUGGGAGGAAUAGUAUUGUUGAGGCAACACUUAUGUGUAUGUGUCUGCAGAGUAUACCCAAGGGUAUGAGCGAUGUUUGAUAGGUCUCAUAGCUCUGGUGUAUUUUCUAGUUGUAUGCUUUGGAUUAUUGUUAAAAAAAAAUCUUAGCUUGUUUGUAUAUAUGAUGUAAUUAUUUAUAACUCUUGUCGUUUUAUGUUACGACAUAUUAUUUUAUUAAAUUGUUUUUUAAAAAAAUACACUCACGCCGUUAAAAAUCGGGGUGUUACAGUAUGUCAACUUUGUCUUGUACUAGUAUCCAUAUUCCAACAAGACAAACACUACAACAAAAACACAGUAAAAGGAUACCACAAACAAGCAUAACAAAAAACUUACAAUUACACUAGAAACCAACCACAACUAACAUACAAAGCCAUUAGAGGACAUUAAAUCAAAACGAACCUAGAAGAUGUACCUGACCAAUUUUCCUACUAGCUAAUGGAAAACUAAUUUCUAUGAAAAAUAUGAAACAAGUACAAAGAAACACUAGACGAUCGAACUUCUAAUAACUAACAAAAUGCAUUCGCAACAAAGAGUCCGAAUAAUGUUGAACUAACAUCUAAACCCAGAGAAAACCACACUUGCAAAAAUCGACUAACAAGCAGCAGAAAAACCCUAAACAUAACCCUAAAGAAGAAAAAACGUUUAGUCUAACAGAACCAACACCUAAAUUUACCUAAAAUGAACUUUGCAGCAUUGAUAUCCAAAGAAGUAGAAGAGCCAAAGGAGAACAACACCAUUGAUACCUAUUCAACAAAAGGAACCAAUAAAAAACUUACUACAACAAAAAAUUGUGAAUCACAAUAGAGAUCUAAAAAGGAAAACACUCCCCGCACUCUGAAGAUACAUAAGCC